CGCACCCCGGCCCCGUGUCUCCCGGGACACCUGGGGCGCGGAGGGCCACCUGCGCUGGCUGAGCUGGAAACGGACUCUUCAUUUUUCUUGAUUUUUCUAGUGGCGCUCGAAGGAUGAGCCCAUUCCAGGUUACAGAUGUGGCAGGAAAGGGAGGACCCCUAUGUUUGAAGAUGAGAUGCAUACCUGCCAUGCUGAGGUGGAGUAUAUAUUCUAUGAUAGACUAUACCUUUCAACAGGAUACACAACUGAGGGACUGAUGAACUCCUUAGGAAAGAGACGGCACUUGAGAUAGGUCCUGAGGAAUGGGAGAAUUUUCAGGGUUGGGGAUCAGGGUAGGUGGAGAGAACACUCCAAUUGUGUGAGUCCUUUGUUAAUUGGUUUGAGACAGGAUCUCACUUUGUUCAAAGCUGACCUUGAACUCCUAGCCUGAAAUGAUUCUCCUGCCUCAGCCUUCUGUGUAACUAGGACUAUAAGCACGCAGGUGUGCACCACCGUACCAGGCUAAGUCACUUUAUUUAUUUUUUAAUUUGUUCUAACUAGUUAUACAUGACAGUAGAAUGUAUUUUGGCAAUUGUACACAAAUGGAGUACAAUUUCUCCUUCCUCUGGCUGUACAUGGUGCAGAGUCACACUGGUAGUGUAAUCAUACAUGUAUAUAGGGUGAUGUCUGUCUCCAUUCCACCAUCCUUCUCAUCCCCGCACCCCCUCCCCUCACUGUCACUCCCCUCUACACAAUCCAAAAUUCCUUCACUCUUCCCCACUCACCCCCACACACCUGAUAAGCAUCUGCUUAUCAGAGAAAACAUUUGGCCUUUGGUUUUUGGGGUUUGGCUUAUUUCGCUUAGCAUGGUAUUCUCCAGCUCCAUCCAUUUACCUGCAAAUGUCAUAAUUUAAUUCUUCUUUAAAGCUCAGUAAUAUUCCAUUGUGUAUAUGUAACACAUUUUCUUUAUCCAUUCAUCUAUUGAAGGGCAUCUAGGUUGGUUCCAUAGUUCUAGUUAUUGUGAAUUGAGCUACUAUAAACAUUGAUGUAGCUAUAGUAUGCUGAUUUUAAGUUCUCUGUAUAAACCAAGGAGUGGGAUAACUGGGUCAAAUGGUGGUUCCAUUCCAUUCAUACUGCUUUCCAUAGUGGUUGUACCAAUUUGCCAUUAAGUCAGUUAAUUUAAGCAAAGGCAUAGAGGGUGGGAAGCUAGAAGAAAAUUCAGUGUGACGAUGCUUAAUGGGACUUUGGAAGUGAUGAGGUUGGAAAGAGAUUUGAAGCCAUUAUGCCAAGGGCCUUCCCUGCCGAAUCUGGACUUUAUCCUUCAGGUCCUGGGAAUCCAGUGGGAAGAUGGCAUGCUCUACUGUUUUGGAAAGCAAAUGUGGCUGUGUGUGUGUGGGGGGAAGCAGGUGGGAAAUGCCCAGCUCUUGAACCUCCUCCCCUGGUUUUGCCUCAAGGGGCUCUGACUUGAAAUACUUUUGUCAGGGAACACAAUUGGGCUGAUCAUUAUUAAUUAAUUUGUUUUUCAGAUCAGUGGUUUACCUCUACUUAAAAGACAACAAUAACGCCCCCUCUUUGUUCAAUUCCUUCAGUGAGAAAGAAUAUCAAUGGUCAAUCUUAUUCAGACACAGGAACCACACCUGGAGGCUAACCAUAGACAUAUUCAUGAGCACUGGCAUGGCCUAUUUCCAAUGUAGAAGACCUUGAGGCUCUCUGUGGGAACACUUCCAGCCAACUGCUUUGUCCCAGAUAUGGAAAACUCAAGGUGGGGUGAACCCAGAUGGAAGUUAUAUGAGGGAAGGUGGGGGUGAACUUGGAUGGAAAGGAGGACUAUAUAUAGCCUUAAUACUUUACAAUGCGUGGUGUUUAACAUACAUGUUGCUCCAUGCUCUGCCCAGAACUAUAUAUAAACUCCUAAGCUGGCACAUUAAAAUGGAUUUUUCUGCUAUCAGGCCCCCUCCUGCAUCGUGGGAGUCCUAGCUCUUGCUUAAAUAAAUCCUGCUCCAUUUACUCUU
Molecule: long non-coding RNA, 1991 nt
Organism: Marmota monax (woodchuck)
Lineage: Eukaryota; Metazoa; Chordata; Mammalia; Rodentia; Sciuridae
Exons: 2
Source: RefSeq, a predicted model, not a curated record